UGGGGAAUAUUGCACAAUGGGGGAAACCCUGAUGCAGCGACGCCGCGUGAACGAAGAAGGUAUUCGUAUCGUAAAGUUCUGUCCUAUGGGAAGAUAAUGACAGUACCAUAGAAGAAAGCUCCGGCUAAAUACGUGCCAGCAGCCGCGGUAAUACGUAUGGAGCGAGCGUUGUCCGGAAUUAUUGGGCGUAAAGGGUACGCAGGCGGUUUAAUAAGUCGAAUGUUAAAGAUCGGGGCUCAACCCCGCAAAGCAUUGGAAACUGAUAAACUUGAGUAGUGGAGAGGAAAGAGGAAUUCCUAGUGUAGUGGUGAAAUACGUAGAUAUUAGGAGGAAUACCAGUAGCGAAGGCGACUUUCUGGACACAAACUGACGCUGAGGUACGAAAGCGUGGGGAGCAAACAGG
Molecule: ribosomal RNA, 403 nt
Filed under: bacterium
Lineage: Bacteria
Description: partial 16S ribosomal RNA
Rfam family: Bacterial small subunit ribosomal RNA
Source: RNAcentral